This is an RNA transcript of Ostrinia furnacalis (Asian corn borer), 3028 nucleotides long. It is a transcript of the gene named cilia- and flagella-associated protein 36, with no coding region annotated. The transcript has 8 exons. The record is from RefSeq and is a predicted model, not a curated record. NCBI's taxonomy places the organism in Eukaryota, Metazoa, Arthropoda, Insecta, Lepidoptera, Crambidae.
CUUUCUGAAGCUAUGAUGGGAAAUAACGCGGCGUUUCCAACAAGUUACCAUGGUAACAAAAUGGUACAAAUAGACGUCACUUUGGUGUUUACAUACUGAGUGCUGCUAAGUGAUAAAUCAGUCAAUAAAUCGGAUACAAAAGGCGCAGUUGUUUGUAGCAUUGCACCAGCUACGAUGGAGAAUCACGACGGCAAUGCAUGGGUUUUCGAUUCGCUGGUGGGGUUCCUACAUGGACCCGUUUGGAACGUUCCUCUGCAGACGUUUAUUGAAGAGAAAUCUUUGCCGUUUGAGCCAACUGAUAAUGGCGAUGUACCGGACAGGCCGGAAUACAAAAAGGUUCACGAUGAAUACCGCAAUUUAGUGGACGUAAUGCUAGGCUCUUUCAUGGACGACAUUGGCAUCACCGCCGACCAAUUCGAGGCAGCUUGCCGUCUGUCAGCUCGCGACCUCGCUGGCCUGCCCGCUCACUUCCACCGAAGGCUCUUCGAGCAAAUCUGGGCCGCCAAUGAUUACGAAAUGUUCGUCAAGAUGAUGACUCAUAAGAACGUCGAGUUGCAGUUACAGGCGCUUGAAUUAAUUGAGCGACGUUUUGGAGCAAUGCCUAAUUUGUUUUCAUCUGAAGCAGAAGAGUUCGAUUCCCCGCGCAGCGAAGAAAGCGGCGACUGGCCGGACAACGACGAUGUUAUGACUGAGAUCAAAAAACUGCAACUGGACGAUUUAGAAACAAAAGACGAGAUUGUGAGUGUUCCUCCCGUGGAAGUGGUGGCUGAAAAGAAGACUCUUCUGUCCAAGCUUCAUAGCUUUGAGAAGAACGAUGAGAAGACUUUCAUUAAAGAGGAAUCUCCACCAGUCAAGAAGCCUGUUGCUAUUGUUGAGCCGCCGAAACCACCACCUAAGAAAGUUGAGGUCAGUGAGGAAGAAAUUCGUGCUCGACAGGAAUAUUUGAAACAGCAAAGAGAUAAGCUGUUGGCGCUGAAGAAGCAGGUUCGGGAGAAGAGAUUGGGCGAGGCAGAGACUGCUACAGAAUCUGGAGGCGGCGAAGGUUCAUUCACCAGUGUGUCUCGGCCAAAGUCCGCGCGAGUUGCGCACGCGGCGUUGGCGGGCACCCCUCCCCCUCCCGCCCCGGACGCGAUGCAACUGCGGAGGGCGCUCGCCUCCAAACUUAAGACUGAGGUUGUUGACUCCAACCACUAAAUGACUCAUUACAAUGUGUAAGGCAUGAUCUCACUUUUAACUUAUUUAAUUAUAUGGUGUUGCACGAUGUGUCGCUAUUUUAAUGAAUUUUAAAUGUCAGAAAACUUAAUAUCAUAGUUUACGUACACGAUAUUUAACUUUGCAAGUUAAGGGGUAAAAAUAAAAGAGAGAUUACUUUUGUAUCUUAUAUUAUAUUGCUUACUUAACUAGUGACAUCAUAAUAAUAGCAUUAAGCUUAUUUAUUUUACACAACUUGCCAAUAGGUAAAUCUAUUUAAUUUUAAUCUGUGUAUAAAUUAGUUUAUGAUGGUCACCCACCUAGACAGAUAAAAAAUAGUCAUUAUUACAGUCUACUUUCACCUAGAACUUCGUUUAAUUAUGGGGAAGUUAUUUCAAGGAAUAUAAUAAGAAUCGUAUAAAUCUAAUUGACAGCUCGAUGCUAUUAAACACGUGGAUGUUGGCAGAUUUCAAAAUAAAAUUAUUACAUAAAACGUUUUAUAUUUACAAUAUAUUCUGUCAAAUUCAUCCCACGCAUGUAAUAAUUCGCCUCGCAUUUACUGUGCAUUUUGUGAAUGCUUAUAAAUGAACAAAAAUUGUUUUAAAGCGUUUUUAUGAAGUGUGACCAUCAUUAAAAAAAUACAAAAUGUAUGUUACUCAAAUUGUAAGGAUGUACAUAAUAGUUUUAGACAGAGAUCAAUGUUUAUUCAGAUACAUAUUAAAAUUGAUAUGUAUUUUCAGGUGUGAUAAAGCCAGGUAGAAAAUAGAUGUUGAUAACGGUUAGGCGAAAUUAAAGGAACAUAAAGUAUGCGAUUGGCGAUGUGUUUUGCGACAGCAGCAUUGGUAGUCUGAUUCUAUUUCCUAUCAUUAUUAUACCUGAAAAAUAUAUACGUAAUUUCAUGCAUAGUAAUAAUUUAUAUAGAAUCUUUAUUUGAUAUAAAACGAUAUUUUAAAAGCUUAUGUACGACAGUAGUGUCUUUGAGACACGUGAUGUUUUUGGUGAUAGUUGAAGAGCUAUUUUUUCAAUCGCCACUGAACUUUUAUCUGAAGAAUAGUACAGAUAUUUUGACAUUACAUAAUAUAAAGUUAUUAUUUCAGACAAAAGUUACAUGGCAUUGAAAAUCAGUAAUAAAUCGUGUGUUGAAGCGUGUAAAAAAUAUUUGUUGUGUUGAACCAAGCCCGGUUGGCGAAUUUUAACAUCAUUCGUGUAUUCAUGUUAGGAAGAACGUAAUAAGAAGGGCCAUGCAUAGACCACGUCAGAGCAUUCCCAAGCACACAUAUUACGUCGUUAAUGGAAUCACCCUAUAUCAAUGACGUAGAAUAUGUAUGUCCCGUUCGCGUUGGUUUAAAUGCAAAACACAUUUAGUUAUAUCAAGAUAGUAGAAAUUAAGGUUUGGACCACUUUAAAAAGACUAAUAGCAUGUCGUGGCCACAUGAUACCCAUAAUCAUUAGUUAAGACUGUUAAAUAUCAAUAUCGGUUACUACGCCCACGCUAUGGAUUUCAUAUGGCCUCCUGUGACUUAUUUCUGGCGACAAGUGAUUGUGAAAGCAUUUCCUUGUUGAUAUUCCGUGUGUACUUUACAUUGAUCACCAGAUAAGUAGUAUUUUUUUUUACAAAAUCUAAUAUUAUUUACAAAUAAUGACAGUAAACUAGAAGUUAACACAGUAAUAAAAUAAAGUGGAUCUUAAUCAGAUACAUUUUAUCACAUACACAUUACACCUGCAAAGCUAUAAUCAUAAGCAGUCAAAACGAUUUUGUUGAAAGUAUAGAAAAUUAAUACUGAUAUCCUCUAGUAGAAUCACAUAGCAAAAAUUCCUUCAUAUCGAUUAUAGACAA